This 973-nucleotide ribosomal RNA is filed under the name uncultured Lysobacter sp. RNAcentral describes it as "bacterial SSU rRNA". It matches the Rfam family "Bacterial small subunit ribosomal RNA", at positions 28 to 987 of the family's 1533-position model. Lineage: Bacteria; Pseudomonadati; Pseudomonadota; Gammaproteobacteria; Lysobacterales; Lysobacteraceae. The record is from RNAcentral.
AGUGAACGCUGGCGGCAGGCCUAACACAUGCAAUUCGAACGGCAGCACAGAGGAGCUUGCUCCUUGGGUGGCGAGUGGCGGACGGGUGAGGAAUACGUCGGAAUCUGCCUAUUUGUGGGGGAUAACGUAGGGAAACUUACGCUAAUACCGCAUACGACCUACGGGUGAAAGUGGGGGACCGCAAGGCCUCACGCAGAUAGAUGAGCCGACGUCGGAUUAGCUAGUUGGCGGGGUAAAGGCCCACCAAGGCGACGAUCCGUAGCUGGUCUGAGAGGAUGGUCAGCCACACUGGAACUGAGACACGGUCCAGACUCCUACGGGAGGCAGCAGUGGGGAAUAUUGGACAAUGGGCGCAAGCCUGAUCCAGCCAUGCCGCGUGUGUGAAGAAGGCCUUCGGGUUGUAAAGCACUUUUGUCCGGAAAGAAAAGCUUAGGGUUAAUAACCCUGAGCCAUGACGGUACCGGAAGAAUAAGCACCGGCUAACUUCGUGCCAGCAGCCGCGGUAAUACGAAGGGUGCAAGCGUUACUCGGAAUUACUGGGCGUAAAGCGUGCGUAGGUGGUUUGUUAAGUCUGAUGUGAAAGCCCUGGGCUCAACCUGGGAAUGGCAUUGGAAACUGGCUUACUAGAGUGCGGUAGAGGGUAGCGGAAUUCCCGGUGUAGCAGUGAAAUGCGUAGAUAUCGGGAGGAACAUCCGUGGCGAAGGCGGCUACCUGGACCAGCACUGACACUGAGGCACGAAAGCGUGGGGAGCAAACAGGAUUAGAUACCCUGGUAGUCCAUGCCCUAAACGAUGCGAACUGGAUGUUGGGGGCAACUUGGCCCUCAGUAUCGAAGCUAACGCGUUAAGUUCGCCGCCUGGGAAGUACGGGUCGCAAGACUGAAACUCAAAGGAAUUGACGGGGGCCCGCACAAGCGGUGGAGUAUGUGGUUUAAUUCGAUGCAACGCGCAGAACCUUUACCUGGCCUUGACAU